GAAGCGAAUCACUAAAAGACAGUCUCAGUUCGGAUUGUAGUCUGCAACUCGACUACAUGAAGCUGGAAUCGCUAGUAAUCGCGGAUCAGAAUGCCGCGGUGAAUACGUUCUCGGGCCUUGUACACACCGCCCGUCAUACCAUGAGAGCUGGUAAUACCCGAAGCCGGUGGCCUAACCGCAAGGAAGGAGCCGUCGAAGGUAGGACUAGUGAUUGGGGUCAAGUCGUAACAAGGUAU
This 236-nucleotide ribosomal RNA is filed under the name Porphyromonadaceae bacterium. RNAcentral's name for it is "partial 16S ribosomal RNA". It matches the Rfam family "Bacterial small subunit ribosomal RNA", at positions 1264 to 1499 of the family's 1533-position model. Lineage: Bacteria; Pseudomonadati; Bacteroidota; Bacteroidia; Bacteroidales; Porphyromonadaceae. The record is from RNAcentral.